GAUGAACGCUGGCGGCGUGCCUAAUACAUGCAAGUCGAGCGAACGGACGAGAAGCUUGCUUUUCUGAUGUUAGCGGCGGACGGGUGAGUAACACGUGGAUAACCUACCUAUAAGACUGGGAUACCUUCGGGAAACCUGAGCUAAUACCGGAUAAUAUUUUGAACCGCAUGGUUCAACAGUGAAAGACGUUCUUGCUGUCACUUAUAGAUGGAUCCGCGCUGCAUUAGCUAGUUGGUAAGGUAACGGCUUACCAAGGCAACGAUGCAUAGCCGACCUGAGAGGGUGAUCAGCCACACUGGAACUGAGACACGGUCCAGACUCCUACGGGAGGCAGCAGUAGGGAAUCUUCCGCAAUGGGCGAAAGCCUGACGGAGCAACGCCGCGUGAGUGAUGAAGGUCUUCGGAUCGUAAAACACUGUUAUUAGGGAAGAACAUAUGUGUAAGUAACUGUGCAUAUCUUGACGGUACCUAAUCAGAAAGCCACGGCUAACUACGUG
RNAcentral lists this ribosomal RNA (497 nucleotides) under uncultured bacterium. RNAcentral's name for it is "partial 16S ribosomal RNA". It matches the Rfam family "Bacterial small subunit ribosomal RNA", at positions 28 to 507 of the family's 1533-position model. The record is from RNAcentral.